Molecule: ribosomal RNA, 253 nt
Filed under: uncultured bacterium
Lineage: Bacteria
Description: partial 16S ribosomal RNA
Rfam family: Bacterial small subunit ribosomal RNA
Source: RNAcentral
UACGAAGGGGGCUAGCGUUGUUCGGAAUUACUGGGCGUAAAGGGCGCGUAGGCGGCCUCGUCCGUCCGGCGUGAAAUGCCUGGGCUCAACCCAGGAAUUGCGCUCGAUACAGCGAGGCUAGAGUGUGGGAGAGGUUGGUGGAAUUCCCAGUGUAGAGGUGAAAUUCGUAGAUAUUGGGAAGAACACCGGUGGCGAAGGCGACCAACUGGACCACAACUGACGCUGAGGCGCGAAAGCGUGGGGAGCAAACAGG